Oncorhynchus kisutch (coho salmon) is the source of this 310-nucleotide long non-coding RNA. RefSeq lists it as uncharacterized. The record is from RefSeq and is a predicted model, not a curated record. The transcript has 3 exons. NCBI's taxonomy places the organism in Eukaryota, Metazoa, Chordata, Actinopteri, Salmoniformes, Salmonidae.
CAACCAGUUUCAAUUUCCCAACGCCAACUUCAUUGCUGAUGGCACUGAAAUCAGGGCAAACGUGACGUAUGUAUACAAAGAGGAUGAUGUCAACCACCCUAGUGGUUUUCUACAGGAAGUCUUAAAAGUCUCAGGUCUCUUGACCACCACUGUUGCCCCAACAACAACUACCAACACCACACCACUUCCUACCCUUUUACUGACCACUCCUUUCAAUACCACAAGUGUUGGAGGUUUUCCUGGCUGGGCUUUGGCCAUUAUCAUUCCUUGUGGCAUCGCUAUCAUUCUGGUACCCCUGUGGAUCCUGCUA